Long non-coding RNA from Neofelis nebulosa (Clouded leopard), 1182 nucleotides. RefSeq lists it as uncharacterized. NCBI's taxonomy places the organism in Eukaryota, Metazoa, Chordata, Mammalia, Carnivora, Felidae. The transcript is spliced from 3 exons. The record is from RefSeq and is a predicted model, not a curated record.
UGGUGCUGUGCGGUCAUCAUCUCACAAUGACGCUCCAGAUCUCUUUCUUGGGAUAAAUUAUCUGGGGUCUUACACUAGAUGAUAAAGUGGGCUGAGGCUUCCCACCAAAGCCAAGCCUUCUGAUCUGCCAUCUCCAAAUUCACACGCAGAGCUUCAGGCUGUGGACUGAGAAAGACAAUGAGAAGCAAAUCCUCUCCUCUUUCUCCAACCCACCAGUGCGAGAACUUUCCAUCUAUGGUUGGAGGGCUGGAAUGGGGUCACUUCCCCGUGGAGGCCAGUUAGUUCAAGGACACACACUCCCCAGUCCAGCCUUUAGUCUUGUCCAGCAGGUGCCUGAGUAGGUGAUUCCUGUAUCUGAUUCCUGCAGAAUUCCAUCUGACCUCUGAUUACACCUCCCUGAACUCUACUGCAACAAGCCUGAGUCCCUAGGUCCUGCCUCACUGCUUGCAUUCAAUGCAGAACUGAGGCAGCACAGCACAGGUUAAAGGCAUUAGCAGUUCUCAAUGACUGAAUUGUAAUGAGGACGAGAUGCUAAAUUAAAGUUUAUUGCAGAAUAAAAGUGUAUGUAGUCAGCAGUUGUUUAAGAGGCUACAAUGAGAUGCCUUCUAGAACUUGGCAAUACAAUUAUGUAGAGUUAAGUGAGUAAAAUGCACACACAGAUGAGAUUAGCUGUCGGCAAAAGUCAUUUUGAGACAAGUCAUCUUUUGGGAAGGCAGAAAGAGCUAGAAUGCUCGUCAAGAUGUGAUUAAACAUGGAAGAAACAAUAGCCUCAUCAAAGCAUGGAGAUAUUUGCAGUGUGAAUUAAAGAACUGAGCUUCUGGAUUUGCCACUCUGAGGUCUGGACCCUGAGCCUGGGUGACAAAGUGCACCGCCUGGGACCUGUGGGUAGAAGUGUCUCACACGGCACAUAUAAACGACAUGCAAGCCUGUAGCUGUGUGUGAAAUAAAGACCAUGGGGGAAUGUAAGUUUUAUUUGCAUAAACCUCAUGUGGCUGAUAACAAAGUUCCUAUUACAAAGUGUUCUGGGAGUCGUUGUGAGCAGUUGACCAUGAGUGCCUAUUAUGGAUAAUAACACUUACCUGCACUUCAUAGUUUUUAUAAAGUCUAAGUGUGAUAAUGAUGUAAACUGCUUAUUUCUUAGCAAAAACUAAGCACUCAGUAUACAAGUUUCAUGUUUUAUAA